Molecule: transfer RNA, 75 nt
Filed under: Candidatus Odinarchaeota archaeon
Lineage: Archaea; Promethearchaeati; Candidatus Odinarchaeota
Also listed under: 2 other names
Description: tRNA-Tyr
Rfam family: tRNA
About the family: Transfer RNA (tRNA) molecules are approximately 80 nucleotides in length.
Source: RNAcentral
CGGCCCGUAGCUCAGCGGCAGAGCGGGCGGCUGUAGACCGCCAGGUCCCGGGUUCAAAUCCCGGCGGGCCGACCA